GAAGUUCAGGUAACACUGAAUGGAGGACCGAACCGACUUACGUUGAAAAGUGAGCGGAUGAACUGAGGGGAGCGGAGAAAUUCCAAUCGAACCUGGAGAUAGCUGGUUCUCUCCGAAAUAGCUUUAGGGCUAGCCUCAAGUGAUGAUUAUUGGAGGUAGAGCACUGUUUGGACGAGGGGCCCCUCUCGGGUUACCGAAUUCAGACAAACUCCGAAUGCCAAUUAAUUUAACUUGGGAGUCAGAACAUGGGUGAUAAGGUCCGUGUUCGAAAGGGAAACAGCCCAGACCACCAGCUAAGGUCCCAAAAUAUAUGUUAAGUGGAAAAGGAUGUGGCGUUGCCCAGACAACUAGGAUGUUGGCUUAGAAGCAGCCAUCAUUUAAAGAGUGCGUAAUAGCUC
This 398-nucleotide ribosomal RNA is filed under the name Staphylococcus aureus. Its description in RNAcentral is "partial 23S ribosomal RNA". It matches the Rfam family "Bacterial large subunit ribosomal RNA", at positions 747 to 1143 of the family's 2925-position model. Lineage: Bacteria; Bacillati; Bacillota; Bacilli; Caryophanales; Staphylococcaceae. The record is from RNAcentral.